RNAcentral lists this unclassified non-coding RNA (392 nucleotides) under uncultured fungus. RNAcentral's name for it is "partial contains small subunit ribosomal RNA, internal transcribed spacer 1, and 5.8S ribosomal RNA". The stretch from base 1 to 139 matches the Rfam family "Eukaryotic small subunit ribosomal RNA", at positions 1759 to 1831 of the family's 1831-position model. Lineage: Eukaryota; Fungi. The record is from RNAcentral.
CCAAACUUGGUCAUUUAGAGGAAGUAAAAGUCGUAACAAGGUUUCCGUAGGUAAGUUAAUAAUUAAGAUUCCUCUAUCUUUUAUUUUAAAUAUCUUAACUAACAUAAUUUUCUUAGGUGAACCUGCGGAAGGAUCAUUGAAAAGUUUUUGGUUUAAUUUAUUAAACCUAACUUUCUAAACCUUUGUUUAAUUAAUUAUUUUUUUGCUUUGAUAAAGCAGAUUUUUUCAAAAUCGAUUGGAAAAUUUUUAAUUAAUUUUCUAAUUUGUCUUUAUCAAUAGCCUAAAUUAAAAUUCAUUUUUAAUUAAAAAGUCUGAAAUUUUUUAAUAAAAAAAAUUAAAAAAAAACUUUCAACAACGGAUCUCUUGGUUCUGGCAUCGAUGAAGAACGCAGC